GCAUAUCAAUAAGCGGAGGAAAAGAAACCAACAGGGAUUGCCCUAGUAACGGCGAGUGAAGCGGCAACAGCUCAAAUUUGAAAUCUGGCGUCUUUGGCGUCCGAGUUGUAAUUUGCAGAGGGCGCUUUGGCAUUGGCAGCGGUCCAAGUUCCUUGGAACAGGACGUCACAGAGGGUGAGAAUCCCGUACGUGGUCGCUAGCCUUUACCGUGUAAAGCCCCUUCGACGAGUCGAGUUGUUUGGGAAUGCAGCUCUAAAUGGGAGGUAAAUUUCUUCUAAAGCUAAAUACUGGCCAGAGACCGAUAGCGCACAAGUAGAGUGAUCGAAAGAUGAAAAGCACUUUGGAAAGAGAGUUAAAAAGCACGUGAAAUUGUUGAAAGGGAAGCGCUUGCAGCCAGACUUGCCUGUAGUUGCUCAUCCGGGUUUUUACCCGGUGCACUCUUCUAUAGGCAGGCCAGCAUCAGUUUGGGCGGUUGGAUAAAGGUCUCUGUCAUGUACCUCUCUUCGGGGAGAACUUAUAGGGGAGACGACAUGCAACCAGCCUGGACUGAGGUCCGCGCAUCUGCUAGGAUGCUGGCGUAAUGGCUGUAAGCGGCCCGUCUUGAAACACGGACCAAGGAGUCUAACAUCUAUGCGAGUGUUUGGGUGUCAAGCCCGAACGCGUAAUGAAAGUGAACGGAGGUGGGAACCUUUCGGGGUGCACCAUCGACCGAUCCUGAUGUCUUCGGAUGGAUUUGAGUAAGAGCAUAGCUGUUGGGACCCGAAAGAUGGUGAACUAUGCUUGAAUAGGGUGAAGCCAGAGGAAACUCUGGUGGAGGCUCGCAGCGGUUCUGACGUGCAAAUCGAUCGUCAAAUUUGGGCAUAGGGGCGAAAGACUAAUCGAACUAUCUAGUAGCUGGUUCCUGCG
Molecule: ribosomal RNA, 906 nt
Filed under: Phoma herbarum
Lineage: Eukaryota; Fungi; Ascomycota; Dothideomycetes; Pleosporales; Didymellaceae
Description: LSU rRNA
Rfam family: Eukaryotic large subunit ribosomal RNA
Source: RNAcentral